This 465-nucleotide ribosomal RNA is filed under the name Vreelandella stevensii. Its description in RNAcentral is "partial 16S ribosomal RNA". It matches the Rfam family "Bacterial small subunit ribosomal RNA", at positions 338 to 795 of the family's 1533-position model. The record is from RNAcentral. Lineage: Bacteria; Pseudomonadati; Pseudomonadota; Gammaproteobacteria; Oceanospirillales; Halomonadaceae.
CCUACGGGUGGCUGCAGUGGGGAAUAUUGGACAAUGGGGGCAACCCUGAUCCAGCCAUGCCGCGUGUGUGAAGAAGGCCCUCGGGUUGUAAAGCACUUUCAGUGAGGAAGAACGCCUGGUGGUUAAUACCCAUCAGGAAAGACAUCACUCACAGAAGAAGCACCGGCUAACUCCGUGCCAGCAGCCGCGGUAAUACGGAGGGUGCGAGCGUUAAUCGGAAUUACUGGGCGUAAAGCGCGCGUAGGUGGCUUGAUAAGCCGGUUGUGAAAGCCCCGGGCUCAACCUGGGAACGGCAUCCGGAACUGUCAAGCUAGGGUGCAAGAGAGGAAGGUAGAAUUCCCGGUGUAGCGGUGAAAUGCGUAGAGAUCGGGAGGAAUACCAGUGGCGAAGGAGGCCUUCUGGACUGACACUGACACUGAGGUGCGAAAGCGUGGGUAGCAAACAGGAUUAGAUACCCUAGUAGUC